This 429-nucleotide ribosomal RNA is filed under the name Bacteroidota bacterium. RNAcentral describes it as "Bacteroidetes bacterium partial 16S ribosomal RNA". It matches the Rfam family "Bacterial small subunit ribosomal RNA", at positions 355 to 776 of the family's 1533-position model. Lineage: Bacteria; Pseudomonadati; Bacteroidota. The record is from RNAcentral.
UAGGGAAUCUUCGGCAAUGGGGGGAACCCUGACCGAGCAACGCCGCGUGAGUGAAGAAGGUUUUCGGAUCGUAAAGCCCUGUUGUUAAGGAAGAACGAGUGUGAGAAUGGAAAGUUCAUACUGUGACGGUACUUAACCAGAAAGGGACGGCUAACUACGUGCCAGCAGCCGCGGUAAUACGUAGGUCCCGAGCGUUGUCCGGAUUUAUUGGGCGUAAAGCGAGCGCAGGCGGUUAGAUAAGUCUGAAGUUAAAGGCAGUGGCUCAACCAUUGUAGGCUUUGGAAACUGUUUAACUUGAGUGCAGAAGGGGAGAGUGGAAUUCCAUGUGUAGCGGUGAAAUGCGUAGGUAUAUGGAGGAACACCGGUGGCGAAAGCGGCUCUCUGGUCUGUAACUGACGCUGAGGCUCGAAAGCGUGGGGGGCGAACAGG